RNAcentral lists this ribosomal RNA (485 nucleotides) under uncultured bacterium. RNAcentral's name for it is "partial 16S ribosomal RNA". It matches the Rfam family "Bacterial small subunit ribosomal RNA", at positions 30 to 506 of the family's 1533-position model. The record is from RNAcentral.
AUUGAACGCUGGCGGCAUGCCUUACACAUGCAAGUCGAACGGCAGCACGGGUGCUUGCACCUGGUGGCGAGUGGCGAACGGGUGAGUAAUACAUCGGAACAUGUCCUGUAGUGGGGGAUAGCCCGGCGAAAGCCGGAUUAAUACCGCAUACGAUCUACGGAUGAAAGCGGGGGACCUUCGGGCCUCGCGCUAUAGGGUUGGCCGAUGGCUGAUUAGCUAGUUGGUGGGGUAAAGGCCUACCAAGGCGACGAUCAGUAGCUGGUCUGAGAGGACGACCAGCCACACUGGGACUGAGACACGGCCCAGACUCCUACGGGAGGCAGCAGUGGGGAAUUUUGGACAAUGGGCGAAAGCCUGAUCCAGCAAUGCCGCGUGUGUGAAGAAGGCCUUCGGGUUGUAAAGCACUUUUGUCCGGAAAGAAAUCCUUGGCCCUAAUACGGUCGGGGGAUGACGGUACCGGAAGAAUAAGCACCGGGUAACUACGU